RNAcentral lists this unclassified non-coding RNA (779 nucleotides) under Hevea brasiliensis (rubber tree). The record is from RNAcentral. Lineage: Eukaryota; Viridiplantae; Streptophyta; Magnoliopsida; Malpighiales; Euphorbiaceae.
GAGGUGGGAGCAUUUGGCCCGUCUCUCCCCAGCCUCUAUACAACCCUAACGCCCAGAUCUCAAACCCUAACCCUAGCCGAUGGAUCUCUCAGCCGACACCCGCCGGUCUCUCCUCCCCAAUUUUCUCUACUCCUCCGCCACAUCCGCGAGGCCCCUCGGCCUCGACCGCCUCCUCCACGGCCGGAACCCUAGCUCGCCGGCCCCUGCUCCGGCGCCGUCUUCGAAUGGAUCCGGAUUGUCGUUCGGAUCUUUCCAGAUCCAGGCCCCCAGCGAGCCCGGCAGGAUCGAGAUGUACUCGCCGAUGUUCUACGCCGCCUGCACCGCCGGAGGCAUCGCCAGCUGCGGGCUGACGCAUAUGGCCGUCACCCCGCUGGAUCUCGUUAAAUGUAACAUGCAGAUUGACCCGGCUAAAUACAAGAGUAUCACGUCUGGGUUUGGCAUCCUGCUCAAAGAACAGGGGGUUAGAGGUUUCUUCCGUGGUUGGGUGCCUACCUUGAUUGGUUACAGCGCCCAGGGUGCUUGCAAGUUUGGGUUCUAUGAGUUCUUCAAGAAGUACUAUUCCGACAUUGCUGGACCUGAGUUUACUGCCAAAUACAAGACCCUGAUCUACCUUGCUGGCUCUGCUUCUGCUGAAGUGAUUGCUGAUGUAGCUCUCUGCCCUAUGGAGGCAGUGAAGGUGCGUGUCCAGACUCAGCCUGGAUUUGCUAGAGGGCUGAGUGAUGGGUUCCCUAAGUUUGUCAAGUCUGAAGGAUACGGAGGGCUGUAUAAAGGACUAGUUC